CUAGCAUAGGCUUAUAGUGAUGGACUUUGUUAUCAAGAAGGGCCAAAAAAGAAGGGGCAGGGAGGGUCGACCUAGAAUUAAGUAUGGUGGCUUGACCACGAUUAGUGAACUUGAUAUAGGAGAAAAGGUGGCAAGGAUGGGGGCGUGUGAGUGUAGGGGGUAUGGAUAAGAUGUGGGAUAGAACAACCUGUUGUAUGAAGGAGACUACUAGAGAGGUGUUGGGUGCUCGAGGGGCGGGUCUGGAAAG
RNAcentral lists this long non-coding RNA (247 nucleotides) under Capsicum annuum. Its description in RNAcentral is "long non-coding RNA (CANN_LNC001110)". Lineage: Eukaryota; Viridiplantae; Streptophyta; Magnoliopsida; Solanales; Solanaceae. The record is from RNAcentral.